GGCAGGGACACCUCCCAGCAGAGCAGGAUGAUCACCUCUGCCUCUGACUUGAGCAGAUCUUGUGCCUACAGAGGCAGUGUACAUACACAGAGGCUCUGAAAGCUGCAAAUCCACAACUGCAAAAGAAUGGGCUGAGAAAGGCACCGCAGGUGGCUGAGCUUAGAAUGCCAAACACCCACGAUCUGAUG
Passer domesticus (house sparrow) is the source of this 188-nucleotide long non-coding RNA. RefSeq lists it as uncharacterized. The record is from RefSeq and is a predicted model, not a curated record. NCBI's taxonomy places the organism in Eukaryota, Metazoa, Chordata, Aves, Passeriformes, Passeridae. The transcript has 3 exons.